RNAcentral lists this ribosomal RNA (1007 nucleotides) under uncultured bacterium. RNAcentral describes it as "bacterial SSU rRNA". It matches the Rfam family "Bacterial small subunit ribosomal RNA", at positions 356 to 1376 of the family's 1533-position model. The record is from RNAcentral.
GGGGAAUAUUGCACAAUGGGCGCAAGCCUGAUGCAGCGACGCCGCGUGCGGGAUGACGGCCUUCGGGUUGUAAACCGCUUUUGAUCGGGAGCAAGCCUUCGGGUGAGUGUACCUUUCGAAUAAGCACCGGCUAACUACGUGCCAGCAGCCGCGGUAAUACGUAGGGUGCAAGCGUUAUCCGGAAUUAUUGGGUUUAAAGGGUGCGUAGGCGGGCUGUUAAGUCAGCGGUCAAAUGUCGGGGCUCAACCCCGGCCUGCCGUUGAAACUGGCGGUCUUGAGUGAGCGAGAAGUAUGCGGAAUGCGUGGUGUAGCGGUGAAAUGCAUAGAUAUCACGCAGAACUCCGAUUGCGAAGGCAGCAUACCGGCGCUCAACUGACGCUGAGGCACGAAAGCGUGGGGAUCGAACAGGAUUAGAUACCCUGGUAGUCCACGCAGUAAACGAUGAAUGCUACCUGUCCGGUUCUUCGGAACUGGGUGGGACAGCGAAAGCGUUAAGCAUUCCACCUGGGGAGUACGCCGGCAACGGUGAAACUCAAAGGAAUUGACGGGGGCCCGCACAAGCGGAGGAACAUGUGGUUUAAUUCGAUGAUACGCGAGGAACCUUACCCGGGCUCAAACGCAGACGGACGGAUCGAGAAAUCGGUUUUUCCUUCGGGACUGUCUGCGAGGUGCUGCAUGGUUGUCGUCAGCUCGUGCCGUGAGGUGUCGGCUUAAGUGCCAUAACGAGCGCAACCCCUAUCUACAGUUGCUAACAGGUGAUGCUGAGGACUCUGUGGAGACUGCCGGCGCAAGCUGUGAGGAAGGCGGGGAUGACGUCAAAUCAGCACGGCCCUUACGUCCGGGGCGACACACGUGUUACAAUGGCAGGUACAGCGGGAAGCCACUUGGCAACAAGGAGCGGAACCCGAAAACCUGUCUCAGUUCGGAUUGGAGUCUGCAACCCGACUCCAUGAAGCUGGAUUCGCUAGUAAUCGCGCAUCAGCCACGGCGCGGUGAAUACGUUCCCG